This 1399-nucleotide ribosomal RNA is filed under the name uncultured bacterium. RNAcentral describes it as "16S ribosomal RNA". It matches the Rfam family "Bacterial small subunit ribosomal RNA". The record is from RNAcentral.
UUAGAGUUUGAUUCUGGCUCAGGAUGAACGCUAGCGGCAGGCUUAACACAUGCAAGUCGAGGGGCAGCGAGAUCAGUGCUUGCACUGAUUGUCGGCGACCGGCGCACGGGUGCGUAACGCGUAUGCAACCUACCCAUUACAGGGGGAUAACACUGAGAAAUCGGUACUAAUACCCCAUAACAUCCAGGGAGGCAUCUUCUUGGGUUGAAAACUCCGGUGGUAAUGGAUGGGCAUGCGUUGUAUUAGUUAGUUGGUGGGGUAACGGCUCACCAAGACAACGAUACAUAGGGGGACUGAGAGGUUAACCCCCCACAUUGGUACUGAGACACGGACCAAACUCCUACGGGAGGCAGCAGUGAGGAAUAUUGGUCAAUGGACGCAAGUCUGAACCAGCCAUGCCGCGUGCAGGAAGACGGCUCUAUGAGUUGUAAACUGCUUUUGUACGAGGGUAAACGCAGAUACGCGUAUCUGUCUGAAAGUAUCGUACGAAUAAGGAUCGGCUAACUCCGUGCCAGCAGCCGCGGUAAUACGGAGGAUUCAAGCGUUAUCCGGAUUUAUUGGGUUUAAAGGGUGCGUAGGCGGUCGGAUAAGUUAGAGGUGAAAUCCCGGGGCUCAACUUCGGAAUUGCCUCUGAUACUGUUCGGCUAGAGAGUAGUUGCGGUAGGCGGAAUGUAUGGUGUAGCGGUGAAAUGCUUAGAGAUCAUGCAGAACACCGAUUGCGAAGGCAGCUUACCAAGCUACUUCUGACGUUGAGGCACGAAAGCGUGGGGAGCAAACAGGAUUAGAUACCCUGGUAGUCCACGCAGUAAACGAUGAUAACUCGUUGUCGGCGAUACAGUGUCGGUGACUAAGCGAAAGCGAUAAGUUAUCCACCUGGGGAGUACGUUCGCAAGAAUGAAACUCAAAGGAAUUGACGGGGGCCCGCACAAGCGGAGGAACAUGUGGUUUAAUUCGAUGAUACGCGAGGAACCUUACCCGGGCUUGAAAGUUAGUGACGGAUCUUGAAAGAGGUCUUCCCUUCGGGGCACGAAACUAGGUGCUGCAUGGUUGUCGUCAGCUCGUGCCGUGAGGUGUCGGGUUAAGUCCCAUAACGAGCGCAACCCCUACCGUUAGUUGCCAGCAGGUCAAGCUGGGCACUCUGACGGGACUGCCGGUGUAAGCCGAGAGGAAGGUGGGGAUGACGUCAAAUCAGCACGGCCCUUACGUCCGGGGCUACACACGUGUUACAAUGGCAGGUACAGAGGGCAGCUACCCAGCGAUGGGAUGCGAAUCUCGAAAGCCUGUCUCAGUUAGGAUUGGAGGCUGAAACCCGCCUCCAUGAAGUUGGAUUCGCUAGUAAUCGCGCAUCAGCCAUGGCGCGGUGAAAAGGUUCCUCGGGCCUUGUACUCACCGCCCGUCA